Molecule: ribosomal RNA, 231 nt
Filed under: uncultured bacterium
Lineage: Bacteria
Description: partial 16S ribosomal RNA
Rfam family: Bacterial small subunit ribosomal RNA
Source: RNAcentral
GGGAAUCUACCUUGUANUGGGGGACAACUCUGGGAAACUAGAGCUAAUACCGCAUAAUCUCUACGGAGGAAAGUGAGGGAUCUUCGGACCUCAUGCUACUAGAUGAGCCCAUAUCGAAUUACCUCNCUGGUGGGGUAAAGGCCUACCANGGCAACGAUCUGUANCUGGUCUGANAGGAUGAUCAGCCACNAUGGGACUGANACACGGNCCUUACUCCUACGGGAGGCAGCA